CCCGGUUCUCUAAAUGUUGGUUUUGUAUUGAUUUUAAUUGAAUCAGACCAUUGGUAAACCAAAGCAUUAUAUAUAUCAUAUUUCUUAACCUAGCAAUCAAAAGAAAAUGGAAAGGAGAGUGCAUCGAGAACCGCCUCCAUUAAUCUCCAUCACGUCUUCUCCCUCUUCAUCACGUCUUCAAGUACACACUCCUAUUGUCCUUUCCUUCACGCCAGAGAAAGGAGUUCCUUGCGCCGUCAUCCUAGAUCGAUUCAGGAGACUUUAGCCUUUGAACCAAGGCUCUUUGGAUAGAUCUCAUUUCCAGGAAUCUGUAGCAGCAAACGGAAUCGAGAUCGGAGUUGUACAACAAAAGUUAUUGACGUUGCUUCCUGGCCAAGAAUAAACUUAAGCUGUUGUGGUGCAGAGACAGUUCCGACCAGUCCCAGCGUAAAGGCGAAACGGUCGACCAAAACAGAAGCUUUCAGUAUGGAAAUUUGUCAGUAAGUAGUUCACUCUUUUAUCUAUCAUCUCCAAGAAGCGGAUUGUCAUUCCGAGUUAUUUUCUGAAAGUUGUGUUUGUUCUCGCGAGAGGUAUUGCUGCAGUCUUCGUAUGCGACCAGCCUGCAGGUGAAGCCAUUUUGGUUGAUCAAAUGGUGGCCGAUCGGAGUAAACCCGGUGGCUACGGACAAGGGACAUAUAGGACUACAUUCUUACCGGAGGGAUUGAAAGUUUAACGGUCAGUUCUUGAGUUAUUCGUCUGUUUUCUCGAGGGUUCAGGUCUACCCAAAUCCUCACAUUCGUCUAUUUUCAGAAAGCUCCGGAGUUGUUAUUUUAGAGCCAGAAAAGUCCAUUCGGUGUUUCUCAGGUUUUUCUGAAGAACCCGUGGCAAAGGUGAGGGUCUUUUCCCGAGCUUCUCUUACACGGCUUAGGACCUCGAAUAAGUAUAAUUUAUUUCUAAUAUGUUUCCGUUUGCGUGAAAUUGAGUCUGUCAUUGUUUUGCUUAGUUUUAGGUUCUUUGCUUAACCGGAACUAGGGUGUUAGAUGAUUCAACAAUGUUUGUUCAUUUGUAAUUGAUAAUAUAUAUAUAUAUAUAUAUAUAGUAUAUUGAUGUGAUUUGGUUGAUAGCCGACUAUGGAUAUUUCGGCUGGAGACAGUACAUUGGGUGUGGUGUUUGCUGCGGCACAGCGUAGUUGACCUGUUGUGCCAAGGCGUGGAGGUCGAUAAAUCGUCUACGGGCGUGUGUUACCGAGCACAUAUUCGGUGGUGUUUUGGCCUGUUAGUGGGCAGCUUGUUUGAUCUCUGGGUACUUUAGCUACCGUGUUUUGCAACGUGUUAGGAUUAAAUUAUAUUUAUUCGGAGUGCUCUGUCCGGGUCCAUGGACUUCGGGUUUAGUAUCCCCAUACCUCACUGGGUAACUCACAUGUUACUCACCCCUCAUUUGCCCCCAUGCAGGUGAGACUGACGAGUAUAUGAUAUUUAGAUGGAUUGGUGCUACUGGGCUUUAUUUCGGAUUUUUAUUUGGGCUUAGGGUGAGUGGAGUCAUGUAUAUGGGUUAUUAUGCUAUGAGAUAUUGUUGGUGGCACGCUGUUCUCCAGAUAGGAGGUGACGGGUGUCACAAUUUGGUAUCAGAGCGGGGUUCCGUCCCGGCCUCGACCCGGGAUGGCGAUUAGGGGAUUCGGUUUUCUACGUUUUCUUUUUAAAGUAUAAAAUACUUUAUAUAUAUAUAUAUAUAAUAAAAAAAAUGUUUGCGAAGUUCUUUUAGCACCAUUUGAUCCAGUAAUUACUAACUCAAUUGUCUCUUUCUAUGACGAUGAGUAAAAUCAUCGUCAUUCAUCCUUCGACUAACAGGGUUCUACACAGAUGUUCAGCAGCAGAUGUGUGAUGUCUCAGUUCGUCAGUUGUCUCAGGAGUGUUAUCAGUUCCUUCGGUCAUGAUUCUGAGAUUAUCCAGGAGUGGAUAUGUGACGUUUCUGCUUCCACCCUCUUUCAAGCAAUCGUUCCACGAGUUUUUGUUACUGGAGAUUAUGUGGUGUGACGUAUGAGCCAUCGAUUGGCAUGUGUUGUUUUUGUGUACGAGUAUGUUGACUAUUUUGGAGGUAUGUUCAGUUUGUAAACUCGUGGGGAUCGCUUUUGGAUUGGGAGUGUGGCAACUUGUGUUGUAUUGAUAUUGGAGUUACGCUUGGUUUUGUUGUUAGUUUUUAGCAUUGUUGAUCGUUUGAGAGAUGUGUCAGUCAAACAACUGGCAUGGGACGUGGGAGGUAUUUAUAUUUAUCGCAGUGUACCAGCUAUGCUCGGAGGACUGAUUUGUUUGGGGACUCGUCAGGGAUGGAGCUACGCUUUUACGAUGUCAUCCUUGGGAUGGAUUGGAUGUCACCACAUAUUAUAGUGUUAGAUUUCCUAAGGGCAAGAGUUGAUAUUGCUGGAGAAAAUGAGAGUUUUUAUUGCAUGCAUGCUACAUGCUGAGGAGUUAUUGGAUAGAGAAGCAGAGGGAUUUUUGGCGAUCAUUUCAAUGGUUAAGAAUGUUGGACAGUAUGAGUUGUAGGAUCUUUUGGUUAUUGCAGAUUAUGAGGAUGUAAUAGUGGUCUUUGGAACGGACACCACCAGACACAAGAGACGUUCUUACGAUUGAUUUGGAAACAAGGACAUCACUGGUUUUACGAGUUCUAUACCAAUUAGCGGUAGCAGAGAUGACCGAACUGAAAGAGCAUAUGGAAAAUUCAUCAGACAUGGAUUUUAUCAUACCGAGUACUUCACCGUGGGGAGCAACAUUAUUGUUUGUGAAGAAGAAAAAUAAGGGUUUCAGAAUUUGUCUCGACUACAGUGGUUUGAACAAAGUGACCAUUAAGGAUAAGUAUCGUUUCUUUGUAUUGAUGAUUUGUUGUAUUAGCUGCAUGGAGGUUCAUGGUUCUCGACGUUUGUCUUAGCAUCGAGAUACCAUUAGAUGACUACAGCUGAGGAGUAUGUACAAUAGAUAUUAUGAAUUGUAGUGAUACCACCGUUAGUAUUCUUGAAGAUUAUGUAUGAUGUCUUUCGUGAACACUUGGAUAAGUGCGUGAUUGUAUUCAUCGAUGACACCCUAAUUUAUUCUCGGAGUAGAGAGGAGCAUGCUGAACAUUUAUGGAUUGUGUUAGGUAAGCCUGAGGAGAAGAAACUAUUUGCUAGAUGAGUGAGUGUAGUUUUAGCAAAGAAAAAAAAAUGGAUUUUUGAGUCAUGUGGUUUCAGAAGCAAGAGUUGCUGUCGAUUCAUUCAAAAAAAAAAAAAAAAAAAAAAAAAAAAAAAAAAAAAAAAAAAAAAAAACUACUACAAUUUCAUUGUGGCCGACACCAAAAAAAAAAAAGUACAGAGAGUUGAAGAAUUAUUAUCACUGCCUGGUAUGAAGAAGGAUGUAGCUACAUUGUGUCACCAUAUCAGACUUGUCAGAUGGUCAAAAUAAAAUAUCAGAUAUUAUCGAAUAAUUGCACAAUCUACUUCUUCCAGAUUGGAAAUGAGAUAUGUUGAUUAUGGGGUUUCUUAUUGGACUAUGGAAGUCAAGUUUCAUGAAGAUUAAUGUAUGAGCGAACAUGAACCGUCUCUCUAAGUUAGACUCAAGAGGGCAUCCUCAGGACUUGUGCUUAGCUCGCGGGAGAAAAAGAAAUUGAGGAAGAUUCAGCCACUGGAAUAAUUCAUGUACAACAACAAUUAUCACUUGGGCAUUCAGAUAUCACUUUAGGAGGCUCUUUACGGAAGAUCAUUCACACACAUCCUAGACCAAAGUUGGGAAGCACUAUGACGUAUAGCAACCAAUGGUUUAAAGGACAUUGAAGCAAAUAUAAAUGCUCAAUAACCACCUAAAGGAAGUUGAUGACUAAAAAAAAAAAAAAAUGCAGUUAAUACUGGAGAGACUUGGAAGUUCAGCUGGAUAAUUUAGUGUACCUAAAAAUAAAGACAUUUCAGAGAGGAUUUAAGACUCGGGAGCUAAAGGAAGCUUAAACCUAAAUAUAUGUGACCGUACCCCUUUGUGGAACAAUGGUUUAUAGAUGGCAGUUAUCAGCAAAGUUGUCAGAAUGCCAUGACGGGUUGGUAUUGAGGAAGGUCGUGAGAAAGUCAUAGUUUAUUUUAUAGCAGCCACGACGUGAUCUCGGUAAAAACAAAAAAAAAAAAAGAGAAAAAAAAAAUUGUUUACACCUAUUCAGUCAGUUGAGAUUUUGGAUUAACAAGAAAAAUCGGUUUAGGAAAUGAUGACCAUGUUCGUCAAGGUUUGUUAUGAGAGAAAGAAACAAGAUCUAGGAGGAGAUCCGGGAGACUGAGACUUAUAUGAUGAUUACUUAUCUACAACUUUCUCAAUAUGGUUUUGGACAACCAGCUCCGGCUUUGAAUUCGAGGACGAAUUCCUUAUAAGUAAGGGAGAAUUGUAACGACCCGGUUCUCUAAAUGUUGGUUUUGUAUUGAUUUUAAUUGAAUCAGACCAUUCGUAAGCCAAAGCAUUAUAUAUAUCAUAUUUCUUAACCUAGCAAUCAAAAGAAAAUGGAAAGGAGAGUGCAUCGAGAACCGCCUCCAUUAAUCUCCAUCACGUCUUCUCCCUCUUCAUCACGUCUUCAAGUACACACUCCUAUUGUCCUUUCCUUCACGCCAGAGAAAGGAGUUCCUUGCG
This 4607-nucleotide long non-coding RNA is filed under the name Brassica rapa (field mustard). Its description in RNAcentral is "long non-coding RNA (BRAP_LNC003130)". The record is from RNAcentral. Lineage: Eukaryota; Viridiplantae; Streptophyta; Magnoliopsida; Brassicales; Brassicaceae.